CCCUAGAUGUCCGGGGCCGCACGCGCGCUACACUGAAGGAAUCAGCGUGGCUUUCUCCCUGACCCGAAAGGGUUGGGAAACCCGUUGAAUCUCCUUCGUGAUAGGGAUUGGGGCUUGAAAUUGUUCCCCAUGAACGAGGAAUUCCCAGUAAGCGCGAGUCAUAAGCUCGCGUUGAUUACGUCCCUGCCCUUUGUACACACCGCCCGUCGCUCCUACCGAUUGAAUGCUCAGGUGAGCCAUUCGGACUUUCAUCAUGCUGGUUUCCAGUUUUGAUGAAGGAAAGUCUUGCGAACCUUAUCAUUUAGAGGAAGGAGAAGUCGUAACA
Molecule: ribosomal RNA, 325 nt
Filed under: uncultured eukaryote
Lineage: Eukaryota
Description: partial 18S ribosomal RNA
Rfam family: Eukaryotic small subunit ribosomal RNA
Source: RNAcentral